AGUUGCUCAUUCACCUCCUUAUGUCAGCCAAUUGCGCUACAUAAAACAUCGAAUGACGCCAGAAGUAAGGUGCCUAUCGUCCAGCUUAACCGAUAACAGUCGCGCAAGCGCUUUAUCAAACAUCGGGCGACACGUUGAGUGAGGCACCGCCUU
Molecule: small RNA, 153 nt
Filed under: Enterobacillus tribolii
Lineage: Bacteria; Pseudomonadati; Pseudomonadota; Gammaproteobacteria; Enterobacterales; Hafniaceae
Description: Glm Y RNA activator of glmS mRNA
Rfam family: Glm Y RNA activator of glmS mRNA
About the family: This family consists of a number of bacterial RNA genes of around 167 bases in length. The function of this RNA is unknown.
Source: Rfam by way of RNAcentral